Molecule: non-coding RNA, 307 nt
Organism: Xyrichtys novacula (pearly razorfish)
Lineage: Eukaryota; Metazoa; Chordata; Actinopteri; Labriformes; Labridae
Source: the annotation of a GenBank genome assembly
UGACCCCCAACCUCCACCUUCAUCCUGAUCGUCUCCUAAAAGGCCGUAUCCUCCGAUCGUAGCUGAUCGUAACCAUUCAAGUUAACGUGUCAAUUUACACCGACUUCUUUCCGUUCCUCUGCGGAUCGCCGGACUCCUCAGCUGAUCACAAGAGUUCUAUUUUUUAUGGACGCCGGAGCAUGGCGGAUAAAUUCAGCACAGAUUAACCCGUGCUGGAAAGGAAGUCGGGCACAGACGAACAACCUUGGGGAAGAACAAGUGAAAGGUUUUUUAGACGUCAUUUCACCCCGAUGACACCAUGGAUGAG